Molecule: ribosomal RNA, 445 nt
Filed under: uncultured bacterium
Lineage: Bacteria
Description: bacterial SSU rRNA
Rfam family: Bacterial small subunit ribosomal RNA
Source: RNAcentral
GCCAGACUCCUACGGGAGGCAGCAGUAGGGAAUCUUUCACAAUGGGCGAAAGCCUGAUGCAGCGACGCCGCGUGGGUGAAGGAGCGUUUCGGCGCGUAAAGCCCUAUCUGCAGGGAAGAAGAUGACGGUACCUGACCAAGAAGCCCCGGCUAACUACGUGCCAGCAGCCGCGGUAAUACGUAGGGGGCAAGCGUUAUCCGGAUUUACUGGGUGUAAAGGGAGCGUAGACGGCAUGGCAAGUCAGAUGUGAAAGCCCGGGGCUCAACCCCGGGACUGCAUUUGAAACUGUCAGGCUGGAGUGCAGGAGAGGUAAGUGGAAUUCCUAGUGUAGCGGUGAAAUGCGUAGAUAUUAGGAGGAACACCAGUGGCGAAGGCGGCUUACUGGACUGUAACUGACGUUGAGGCUCGAAAGCGUGGGGAGCAAACAGGAUUAGAUACCCUUGUA